This 448-nucleotide ribosomal RNA is filed under the name uncultured bacterium. RNAcentral describes it as "bacterial SSU rRNA". It matches the Rfam family "Bacterial small subunit ribosomal RNA", at positions 29 to 506 of the family's 1533-position model. The record is from RNAcentral.
AUGAAUGCUGGCGGCGUGCCUUAAACAUGCAAGUCGGACGGAGGGAGCAAUCCCUUAGUGGCGAACAGCUGAGUAACACGUAAGUGACCUGCCCAUUUGUGGGGGAUAACCCCGAGAAAUCGGAGCUAAUACCGCGUACGCUUACCUGGCAGACGGGUAAGGAAAGCCGAAAGGUGCAGAUGGAGGGGCUUGCGGCCCAUCAGGUAGUUGGUAUGGUAACGGCUUACCAAGCCAAUGACGGGUAGCUGGUCUGAGAGGAUGAUCAGCCAGACUGGGACUGAGAGACGGCCCAGACUCCUACGGGAGGCAGCAGUUGGGAAUCUUGCGCAAUGGGCGAAAGCCUGACGCAGCGACGCCGCGUGGGGGAAGAAGGCCUUCGGGUUGUAAACUCCUUUUGUCGGGGAAGAGUAAGGACGGUACCCGGCGAAUAAGCCCCGGCUAACUACGU